RNAcentral lists this ribosomal RNA (664 nucleotides) under uncultured phototrophic eukaryote. RNAcentral's name for it is "bacterial SSU rRNA". It matches the Rfam family "Bacterial small subunit ribosomal RNA", at positions 99 to 795 of the family's 1533-position model. The record is from RNAcentral.
CGGACGGGUGAGUAACGCGUGAGAAUCUGCCCUUAGGAAGGGGAUAACAGCUGGAAACGGUUGCUAAUACUCUAUACGCCGAGAGGUAAAAGGAUUUAUCCACCUUAGGAAGAGCUCGCGUCUGAUUAGCUUGUUGGUAAGGUAAUGGCUUACCAAGGCGACGAUCAGUAGCUGGUUUGAGAGGACGACCAGCCACACUGGGACUGAGACACGGCCCAGACUCCUACGGGAGGCAGCAGUGGGGAAUUUUCCGCAAUGGGCGAAAGCCUGACGGAGCAAUACCGCGUGAGGGAUGAAAGCCUGUGGGUUUUAAACCUCUUUUCUCAAGGAAGAAGUUCUGACGGUACUUGAGGAAUAAGCAUCGGCUAACUCUGUGCCAGCAGCCGCGGUAAUACAGAGGAUGCAAGCGUUAUCCGGAAUCACUGGGCAUAAAGCGUCUGUAGGUUGCCUACCAAGUCUGCUGUUAAAGAUCAGGGCCUAACCCUGGGAAAGCAGUGGAAACUAGUAGGCUUGAGUGUGGUAGAGGUAGAGGGAAUUCCUGGUGUAGCGGUGAAAUGCGUAGAUAUUAGGAAGAACACCAAUGGCGAAAGCACUCUACUGGGCCAUAACUGACACUGAGAGACGACAGCUAGGGGAGCAAAUGGGAUUAGAUACCCCAGUAGUC